AGUGAGUUGGUAUCAAGUUUUAUUUACUCAUUAAUCUUACUAGUCUAUAUGCCAAUUUUUAAAGAUUAUUCCACGAAAUUACAACUCCUUAUGUACAAAAUACAUAUUGACGUUGACCCAAAAUUUUCCUUUCUCUAACUUCAUUUCACAUUGAUGUUUGUUUUAGACUAAGUCCUCCUAAAGGAAAAAAAAAAAAAAUCACUGUCAUGUGCCUUGUUAAUCCCUCUCUUGUAAUAAACAUGGUGUCAAAUUUACUUUGCAUGAAGCAUAUGAGUGCUUUAUUUUAAAUGUAACUUGGGAAGGGCCCUCUUAACAUUCUGUUACUGUUAAGACGUGUUGUUUUGUGUCUAUUUGCUGCUUAUAACCUUCUGUAAAAUUGUAAAAUGUUGCAUAAAAUGUGGUACAUAAAUGCAUGCUAAUAUUAAUAA
Non-coding RNA from Pelobates cultripes (western spadefoot toad), 428 nucleotides. Lineage: Eukaryota; Metazoa; Chordata; Amphibia; Anura; Pelobatidae. The record is from the annotation of a GenBank genome assembly.